UCACUGGUUCCCAUAUGAUCACUGAAGUUAAGCAACGUUGAGCCUGGUCAGUACAUAAAUGGAUGAUUGGGAAUACCAGGUGCUGUAAG
Acanthosepion pharaonis is the source of this 89-nucleotide non-coding RNA. The record is from the annotation of a GenBank genome assembly. NCBI's taxonomy places the organism in Eukaryota, Metazoa, Mollusca, Cephalopoda, Sepiida, Sepiidae.